Rhododendron vialii is the source of this 1777-nucleotide RNA transcript. RefSeq lists it as uncharacterized. The transcript is spliced from 6 exons. The record is from RefSeq and is a predicted model, not a curated record. NCBI's taxonomy places the organism in Eukaryota, Viridiplantae, Streptophyta, Magnoliopsida, Ericales, Ericaceae.
UCCAAAAAAAACUCCAUUUUGGGAACUGCUCUUCGACUUUCCAGAAACCAUUUCCAUUUUCUAGAAACCAUUUUCUCUUCCUUUCACUUCACUCCCCACCACCGCCACUACCUCUUCCCCUUCAAGUUUCUAGAAACCCCACCCAUGGUCCCCAAAUCCGACCCCCCAAGCGUCUCCCGUCCGCCGCCGGUCAUUCCUUAGCUGAGUUUUUCGGCUGUAAGAUCUCUCUCUUCAUCUUCUUCUUUGUAAAAAUACUGUGUGUGGGUGAGGGUGAGGGUGAAUUUGGAGGGGUAAAAGAGUCCCAAAUCCCCCGGAUUUGCUAACGACAGGGGUAAAGCUCCGCUUGGCAAAUCCACCCAAAACACUGUUAGAGGUGGAUUUGUAGUCUCAACAGUGUUUUAAUCCAUCCUCCAAAAAAUAUGCAAUCAAAGACCGGAUAUGAGUGGGACCAGGAGAUGAAAUCCAGGCAGCUCCAUAUCCGGCAUCCAAACAGGGCCUAAAGCUCCGCUUGCCAAAUCCUCCGCUUGCCAAAUCCACCCAAAACACUGGAGGUGGUGGAUUUCUAGUCCAACAGUGUUUUAAUCCACCCUCCCAAAAAUGCAACCAAAGACCAGAUAUGAGUGGGAUCGGGAGAUGAAAUCCGGGCGGCUCCAUGGCCGGCCUCCAAAUCCGGCAUCCAAACAGGGCCUAAAAGGCAAACAAGAACCGAUACAAAACCUAAGCCAUUCAUGUGGCUCCUUAGCAUUCCUUUCUCUGUCUGGUGACCUGUUGCUCUGUCGAUUCACAGCGAUGGCGCCAAAUGAGACGGAAUGGACUCCUUGUAACGUCGAUGCUGAUCGUUGUUAUCUUGACAUGGAUUUGGAAGAUGAUAUCACCCAUUACAUCUCAUCGGAUAAUGCAGAAGGACUGAAGUCCUUGUUGUCACACCGAGAUGUAAGAAAUGGAACAUACAGUUAUUGCCGAACCACUCUGUUGCAGUCUCUGUGCCUUUUUAGUGCCCUGAAAUGUGCCACUGCGUUGGUGGAUGGGAAGUUAGGCGUAAGAGUAGAUGUAAAUAGGGACCAGCUGUUGCAUCAUUAUGCAGCUAGGUUUUCAUCUCCCGAAUUAGUUAAGUUAUUCCUUCGAUAUGGAGCUCGAACUGAUGUCCGAUACGCUAGAAAAGUUUGGUGGGGGCAAAGGAAUGCUCCCACUCAAUGGAAUGCUCCCGCUCGAUACAUCACUUUAUGCUGCGAGGGAGUUGGUGUACUCGUAUCAACAAGAGUCUCUUUUCAAGUGGAUAGUAUUUCUCUGUCUACCAUCUUUGAAACCGUCAUUGGUUGUUAAUAAAUUGUCGCAGAAACCGUCAAAUUCUGUCACUGAUUGAUGAGGAGGUCAAAUUAAUGAGAGAAUGUAAACAUGGGGAAUUAACUCAGAUUCAACAGAAGAUGAUGGGUGUGAGUUCGAGUCUGUUGCUUGAAGUUUUUGAUAGAGGUGGUCAUACUAUUGGAGAAUAGCUGCAGUCCCAACAGCCUGAUGAAAAACCCAUCAUGUUUCAAUUCUUCAACGGUUCGGAGUUUGCUGAACACGGCUGUCUCGUUUAGGGAGUUGAGGUGGCUGUCUCGAGGUUAAAUUUCUAGGUUUUAUUCUUCAUUGACCUCAGAAGAGAUAUUAGAAUAGAGAUUGAGAGAAUAAUUUGAUAGAGAUUAUUCGCUUAAACUUGAAAUUUUGUACAGCCAACAAAAGGCAGGAGAUGUUACUUUAAUAUCCGUUAAAGAGUUUUUUGAUAUUAUUUUUAAAA